This is a long non-coding RNA of Etheostoma spectabile (orangethroat darter), 111 nucleotides long. RefSeq lists it as uncharacterized. The transcript is spliced from 4 exons. NCBI's taxonomy places the organism in Eukaryota, Metazoa, Chordata, Actinopteri, Perciformes, Percidae. The record is from RefSeq and is a predicted model, not a curated record.
GGUAAUGCACAUUAAUCAAUUUGCUUAAAGGUACCCUGCCACACAAAACUGUUUUUACUUGCAUGUUUUGAAAUAUGUUAGUUCCAUAUGUGUUUAUAAAAAAUGUUUUUU